GAAAUGCGAUAAGUAAUGUGAAUUGCAGAAUUCCGUGAAUCAUCGAAUCUUUGAACGCACAUUGCGCCCUCUGGUAUUCCGGGGGCAUGCCUGUCCGAGCGUCAUUGUGAACCCCUCAAGCACGGCUUGUGUGAUGGGCCCUCCCGCGUCUUGGUCGUCAAGACGGGCCCGAAAUGCAGUGGCGGCUUCGCGGUUAUCCGAUCAGCCAGAGCGUAUGGGGACUCUCUCUCUUGUCACACGCCCGCGGCGCGGACCGACGCCUGUCGACCUUUAUUCAUCUUCUCUCGGUUGACCUCGGAUCAGGUAGGGAUACCCGCUGAACUUAAGC
RNAcentral lists this unclassified non-coding RNA (328 nucleotides) under plant metagenome. RNAcentral describes it as "partial contains 5.8S ribosomal RNA, internal transcribed spacer 2, and large subunit ribosomal RNA". The stretch from base 1 to 104 matches the Rfam family "5.8S ribosomal RNA", at positions 50 to 154 of the family's 154-position model. The record is from RNAcentral.